This 320-nucleotide long non-coding RNA is filed under the name Cicer arietinum (chickpea). RNAcentral describes it as "long non-coding RNA (CARI_LNC000399)". Lineage: Eukaryota; Viridiplantae; Streptophyta; Magnoliopsida; Fabales; Fabaceae. The record is from RNAcentral.
CUUAAAUCUAUCCUCGGACUAUACCAAGAUGCUUAUGACCAAUAAUACAUUAAUCUUGACAAAUCAAAUAUCUCUUUUAGCCAAAAUGGUCUAUUGAUAGACAAAACGACUUCCUAAGAUGGAUCCCUUUUAAGGUAGAGGAGACUCCCCCAAAAUACCUAGUUGUAUCAUGUUUCAUUUGAAGAUCUAAGAUGCAGGUUUUUGAAUUUGUUCAAGAUCAUAUUUGGAAGAAUUUCAAAGGAUGGAAGGAAGGAUUCCUCUAAUCCCCCCCUCUGCAGGAAUGGGGGUGCUUAUCAAGUUAGUGGCUCAGUCCAUACCCA